UGCGCGCCGCGGCCUGGCCCAGCGAGAGGUCGGGCCUCGCUGCUCCGGACGGCGGCCAGCUUUGCCCAGCAGACGGCACCGGUACCGGGCCUUAAAGGCCCGGACCACCGAGCAGGGCAGGGCGAGCGUGGAGCCCGAGGCCGAGAGAGGCAGGAGCCUCACGUGGUGCAGCCCACAAGAGCCCGCCACUCGCGUCCGCCACCGGGGCCGCCAGCAGUAGGGCACGUGCCGCCCCUGCAGCCCCAUGUCCCGGUCGAACCGUGCCAACCACUGCGCCCAGGGGACGCCCAGCCCAGGGUGGUAGGAGGCAGGCAGCGCCUCGCCGCGGACCUCGGAGAAGCAGGCCGGGGCAGCCUGGCGCCCCCCCGCCCACACCCGCCGCUUCUCGCUGCCCCGGCUGUUGGCGCACAGCACCACCUGCACUCGGUCGCAGGCGCCGGCUCCGCCGGGCACCGCCCGGUACAGCAAGGGCACCGCGGCGCAGCCGAACACGUCCUCCGGGCAGAAGUCUUCAAGGGCCACAGGUGGCUGGGGCUGGGCCGGGAGCCCUGGGGGCGGCGGGGCGAGCGCGGGGCGGGGCCCCGGGCCCACGUUGUUGCGGCGUCUCCAGCGGACCAGCCAGCCGACGCUGGGCACGAAGUCCUGGCCCAUGAUGUCGGCCAGCUGCUUGGCCUUGUGCAGCAGCGCGGGCCCCGUGACGUCGCAGGCCCCGGCGCGCGCGAGGCGGUACCAGCAGAGCAGGGCCUCGUCGACGCCGCUGUACUUGGACUCCCGCUUGCGCUUGCGCUGCCGGUUGGCGGUGCCGCUGCACCAGUCGGCCAGCAGCUUCUCCUUGUUCUUGCAGAUGCGCGAGAUCUGCGGCUGCGAGACCCGGAAGCGCCGCGCCACCUCCGACUGCGACAGCUUGGACUCGCGCAGGAGCUCCAGCACCUGGAUCUUCUCGGCCAGGGACAGCGCGUGCAGCUUCUUCCUGCCGCCCAGCUCCAUGGAUUCUCCCCGCACCUGCGUGGGGGCGGGGGAAGGGAGGGGUGUGCAGGGGGAGGCAGGAGGGAGGGGCAGGUGUGCAGGAGACCGGGCGGGGCCAGGUCAGGCCGGCUGAGGAGCAGGUGCGCCCUGACCCCACGGAACACAGCACAGAGCCAGGAGGAGAGGGGUGAAUAG
Molecule: long non-coding RNA, 1161 nt
Filed under: Oryctolagus cuniculus (rabbit)
Lineage: Eukaryota; Metazoa; Chordata; Mammalia; Lagomorpha; Leporidae
Description: lncRNA (ENSOCUG00000034223.1)
Source: RNAcentral